UACGUAGGGGGCUAGCGUUGUCCGGAAUUAUUGGGCGUAAAGAGCUUGUAGGCGGUUUGUCGCGUCUGCUGUGAAAUUUCGGGGCUCAACCCCGAACUUGCAGUGGGUACGGGCAGACUAGAGUGUGGUAGGGGAGACUGGAAUUACUGGUGUAGCGGUGAAAUGCGCAGAUAUCAGGAGGAACACCGAUGGCGAAGGCAGGUCUCUGGGCCAUAACUGACGCUGAGAAGCGAAAGCAUGGGGAGCGAACAGG
This 253-nucleotide ribosomal RNA is filed under the name uncultured bacterium. RNAcentral describes it as "partial 16S ribosomal RNA". It matches the Rfam family "Bacterial small subunit ribosomal RNA", at positions 524 to 776 of the family's 1533-position model. The record is from RNAcentral.